GUCCUUCGGGAAUGCUGACGACCGGCGCACGGGUGAGUAACGCGUAUGCAACCUUCCUGUAUCUGGAGGAUAGGCCUUGGAAACGAGGAUUAAUACUGCGUAAUAUUAUAUUAUCGCAUGGUAAAAUAAUCAAAUCUACGGAGGAUACAGAUGGGCAUGCGUGCCAUUAGCUAGAUGGUAAGGUAAGGGCUUACCAUGGCGACGAUGGCUAGGGGUUCUGCAAGGAAGAUCCCCCACACUGGUACUGAGACACGGACCAGACUCCUACGGGAGGCAGCAGUGAGGAAUAUUGGUCAAUGGAGGCAACUCUGAACCAGCCAAGCCGCGUGAAGGAAGACUGUUCUAUGAAUUGUAAACUUCUUUUGUGACAGAGUAAAGAUAGCUACGCGUAGUUAUUUGCAAGUAUGUCAUGAAUAAGCAUCGGCUAACUCCGUGCCAGCAGCCGCGGUAAUACGGAGGAUGCAGGCGUUAUCCGGAUUUAUUAGGUUUAAAGGGUGUUCAGGCUGUCUGGUAAGUCAGAGGUGAAAGUCGGUUGCUUAACGAUCGAAUUGCCUUUGAAACUGUCAGACUUGAGUAUGGAUGCGGUAGGCGGAAUGUGUAGUGUAGCGGUGAAAUGCAUAGAUAUUACACAGAACACCGAUUGCGAAAGCAGCUUACCAAACCAGCACUGACGCUGAAGCACGAAAGCGUGGGUAGCGAACAGGAUUAGAUACCCUGGUAGUCCACGCAGUAAACGAUGCUCACUCGCUGUUGGCAAUAGAUCGUCAGCGGCUAAGGGAAACCGAUAAGUGAGCCACCUGGGGAGUACGAUCGCAAGAUUGAAACUCAAAGGAAUUGACGGGGGCCCGCACAAGCGGUGGAACAUGUGGUUAUUCGAUGAUACGCGAGGAACCUUACCUGGGCUUAAAUGUACGAUGCAUAAGUGUGAAGCACUUUCCUUCGGGACUUUGUACAAGGUGCUGCAUGGUGUCGUCAGCUCGUGCCGAGGUUCGGUUAAGUCCCAUACGAGCGCAACCCCUAUUGUUAG
RNAcentral lists this ribosomal RNA (1027 nucleotides) under uncultured organism. RNAcentral describes it as "bacterial SSU rRNA". It matches the Rfam family "Bacterial small subunit ribosomal RNA", at positions 75 to 1114 of the family's 1533-position model. The record is from RNAcentral.